RNAcentral lists this ribosomal RNA (253 nucleotides) under uncultured bacterium. RNAcentral describes it as "partial 16S ribosomal RNA". It matches the Rfam family "Bacterial small subunit ribosomal RNA", at positions 524 to 776 of the family's 1533-position model. The record is from RNAcentral.
UACAGAGGUCUCAAGCGUUGUUCGGAUUCAUUGGGCGUAAAGGGUGCGUAGGUGGCGCUGUAAGUCGGGUGUGAAAUUUCGGAGCUUAACUCCGAAACCGCAUUCGAUACUGCGGUGCUUGAGGACUGGAGAGGAGACUGGAAUUUAUGGUGUAGCAGUGAAAUGCGUAGAGAUCAUAAGGAAGACCAGUGGCGAAGGCGGGUCUCUGGACAGUUCCUGACACUGAGGCACGAAGGCCAGGGGAGCAAACGGG